RNAcentral lists this ribosomal RNA (329 nucleotides) under uncultured eukaryote. RNAcentral's name for it is "partial 18S ribosomal RNA". It matches the Rfam family "Eukaryotic small subunit ribosomal RNA", at positions 1470 to 1796 of the family's 1831-position model. The record is from RNAcentral.
CCCUUAGAUGUUCUGGGCCGCACGCGCGCUACACUGACGAUGGCAACGAGUUUUUCCUUCGCCGAAAGGUGUGGGUAAUCUUUUGAAACAUCGUCGUGCUGGGGAUAGAUCAUUGCAAUUUUUGAUCUUGAACGAGGAAUUCCUAGUAAGCGCGAGUCAUCAGCUCGCGUUGAUUACGUCCCUGCCCUUUGUACACACCGCCCGUCGCUACUACCGAUUGAAUGGUUUAGUGAGGACUCCUGAUUGGCGCCGCCGCCCCGGCAACGGAGCAGCGGACUGCCGAAAAGUUGUUCAAACUUGAUCAUUUAGAGGAGGUAAAAGUCGUAACA